This 20-nucleotide small nuclear RNA is filed under the name Arabidopsis thaliana (thale cress). RNAcentral's name for it is "snRNA_01822". Lineage: Eukaryota; Viridiplantae; Streptophyta; Magnoliopsida; Brassicales; Brassicaceae. The record is from RNAcentral.
UCAACGGGUGAGUAAACCCG